AACAUCUGGCGUUACAGUUACAAAUUUUGCUGUGUACUGUCUUUGGGAAUGAGUUCCACUUGCUCCUAAGUCAGGUAGCUAGUAAGCUUCAGAGUGAGCUGUACGCAACGUGUGUUUGAUGCAUAUGGAAAAAUAGUUCAAGAAAAAUCAGCCCUAUUUGGCAACAGUGAUUUUUUUGAACUGAAGGGGCUCAUAUUCUAAAUAUGGGUGUUUUGUUGCUUUUCUUACUUUGUAGCAUUCAGCUAUUGGGUCAGCACUGACAAAACAGACAUUUGUAUAUCUGUUUGUUUUGUUCCUCUCUUGAGUUUUGUAAGCCAUAUAAUUAGUAUUGGCGUUACUGAAUUUGAAUCAUUUGUUUUUAAUUCACUUUGAGGCUGAUUGCACUUCAAAUUAGAAUUUCUCCUUCCAAAUUCUAAUUCCAAAAUGCAGUAAUACACAUAAGCUAAAUGUAUAUAUUUUAAUUACCUAAUAGAUCUUUUUGUCUUUCUUCUUUUUAAGCCUUCUGGGGACGAUGCGUGUGUUGUGCGUGUCGUUUACGUGAGCAGCAGGAUGGAAACCUGCUGUAGUUCAUUUCAUAGCUAGAUAGAUACUGCUAGCUGUACCUAAUGCUGAUAAAUGGCAAACAGAAUAAAAGUGAGGUUAAUAUUACAAAGGUUGACCAACGUUACCUUCCUUUCAAGGUGAAAUUAAUUAGGAAGUAGGGAAGUUGGAAAGCCCUAUUUAACGGGGGCAGAUAAUAAGUCUGCGUCUGUGAAAGGUUAGAUACAGAGUGCUUGGGAACGAGGAACUCUGUGCACAAAGAAACUUCUGUGCACAAAGUUCACAUGAAUCUGAAGGAGUGCAGGCUUUGGAGUUUGGGAGAGCCAGGCAUGUAGGCAAGUGGGGGAGAUGGAUUUUGUGGGCAUCUCUGGGAUGUGAAUGAUUAAAUGUGAUUUUUUCGAAACACUGGAUAUGUUCUGUGCUCUGGAACUUGCACAGGAUUUUAUCCAUUGCCAUAUUAGAUCUUGGAGUUAACACAUCUAAAAUUAUUAUUCACACUUUAUUUUUCCUCCUGACGCUUCUGUGAAAAUACCUGAAUUCCAUAGGUGAAAAAUGAAUUUAAUAAUGUAAUGAAUAUCGUACUUGGAUGUAGGCUUAUGUGUCCUAACUGUUGCAAGAAUGGGCUCAACACAGUCUGAAAGCCAGUUGCAAAGGAACGUGCCUGAUCUGCAAGGUUUGGUGUUAAAUUCAGAAGGAAGGUUACUAAGGACUGUGAGCAGACUGAAAUAUUGUGGAACUGGGGAGGUGUUUUCAUGGUAGUGAGUGGCGAUGGUCAUUGGCAACAUAUUCCUUACAAGAGAUAAGAAGGAUGUGGAAGCUGCUUGCUACUGUGCUGUUUUUUAUUGUUCUUUUUUUUUUUUUUUUUUCCCUCUGUGAAGUUACAUUUUCCCUAUUGAUGGAAAAGAGAGAACUUCCAUACACUGAAAGGUUAAUUCUGGGUUUUCAGUGAAGACGUCUACAACCUUAUGCCACCUGUAAUAACUAGUGUUCAACUUCUGAGAAUGCAUUAUUUUACUCUUCCCUGAUUAGGGGGGAAAUUUGAUUCUUUGACAGCCAGUCUGAGAGCUAACUCUUAACUGUUUCCCCAGGGAGUUGAAGACCUAUUCUUGAAUUACACCUUAUUUAAUUUGUCAAAGCCCAAAGAGAAGCCCCUGAUUUGUUGUUUUAUCCUUCCGCAGUCAAAUCUCAAGCUACAAAGUAAAUAAGCACCCUCAAGUACCAGUAUCUUAAAGUUACUUUUACCAGUUCCUGUAGUAGUGUUCUCUCAGAGACUGGAGUUACUUUUUUUUCCAGAGCCAUUGUGAUCAAGCUUGGUCAUUCAAACAGUUGUAACUACUUGUCUAUACUCCCAUUUUCCUUAUGUGAGUUACUGGGAGAAUUUGUCUGGAAUUCGUAGGAUGCCUAGCUCAGAAAGUCCUCUGCUGUUUGCAUGAAGGUGUGUGUAGCAUCUACCCCAGACAAGGUCAAGGUAUGUUCUUUCUACCUGCACAGCUUAGUGGGAAUAAAUGUUAACAUAGAUAUUGGGGCAUGGUUUUUGCAGACAGUGAAAACUUGAGAAUGUUAUUUAUUUACGUAUUUGUCUGCCAUGCUCUUUCAGAAUGAAAGGUGCUAAUUGCAAUUUUAUGGCAGUUUCAUCUUUUGUACUUCUGAUCUUAGGGCCCAGUCACUGCAAGGAUGCAAGUCUGAAGUUUGGAAUGAACCCUGUCACAAAAGCGGAGAUCAGCUUGAAGGAACCUCAACAUGUUAUAGGCAAAAGAUAGUUGCAUUUGUCUGCAAUCCAAAGGCAAUAAUUGACAUGAAAUGCUGGGUUUGUGUGUGUUCGGAGGGGAAGUGGAGAAGCAGGAGACAUAAGUGUUAGAGGUCAGUUGUUCUUAGAACAGUUGAAAAAGGAUUUUUGUUUGCUUCUUGUGGGAAGGAAAAAAAGAUCUUAAAAAGAUGGCAGUAGCUUUGGACUGAUGAGUUGACUUAGUCAUCUGUAAAAGCUUUAAAAACGAAAAGAAAAAAAUAGAAAAAAGAAAAAAGAAAAGAAAAAGGGGCUAGGGGCUGGAAAGCGGAGAAUACUCAGCUGCCUGUGUGUCCAUUCAAGGAGUAGUUCAGAAAUGUCAGGUUCUGUGCAAAUAAACAGUAGGUUUCAGUUGUCUGCUGCUAAUUAUCACCCAAAUUUGAUUUGCACGUUCUUCAAAGGGACUCAUAUCUUUCCAUUCAGUUAUUUGUUUCGCUGUGAUGAAUCUGUAAUUCAAGCCAAAUGUGGGUCAGUUUCCAGAUGGAAAAAAAAAUGCUUGGAAUGUGUUUAUCCACGGUCAUACCAGUGUCUCUUUUUAGUUUUAUAUGUAUGUUGAUUCAUGGCCUUGGUGGGGAGGUGAAUUUGUGUCAAUGUGUGAAUUGGCUUUGCUUGUUUGGUAUGUUUGCGAAGGGUUUGGUCAGUUGUAGAAGGGUUUAAAUAAUUGUUUGUAAUGGAGUGAUUCUGGUGCACUUCAGAGUAACAAGGUAAGUCUUAAAAUUAUACAGAUAAUAACAAAAUCUCACUCUAGGUACAUUUUGUUUCCUAGCUAUUAUAUCCCCUUAUGCAAACAUAGGUUAAUUGGUCUUCUGCUCACUCUUUUUUUCCAACUUUGAUAGCUUUCACAUCUUAGUAUGCAGAUCAUUUGCUAUUCUGUCUGCAGCGAUGCAGUCUUCAGUCUCUGAGGACACUGAAAUAAUAGUUGCAAUACUUUCCUCCCAUUAGAAGUACUAACUACAGAACAUAGGCUUAUAAUGAGAAAAUAUGUCAAUUUAAGAAACAUCUAUUGAGUUGUUUUACUGUGUGAGUGUUUAGCACUGCCUGGGGCAUCUUGCAGUUCUCAGUUGUCUGGGAAUGGGCUGGGGCACUUUGCUCUAGGUGUCCCUCUGUGAGCAGGGCAGGGACCAGAUGGACCCCAGGGUCCCUUCCAUCUUCACUCGGCCUGUAAUGCUGUGCCCAUAAUGCUUUAGCAAGCAUUGUGAAGACUGGCUAUUUAAUUGUGCAGGACUAAAUAUGACUUCAGUUUCCUUGAUUGCACUUUCGUAUUGAACUUUUGUUGGUCGCACAGGAGAUGGAUAUAUGGGAAAAAUUCAUUACUUUCAGUCCUUUGAAGAGAAUGUGUCAGAAGGAGGUUAAAAGAUUAAGGUAACACUCAUAUAGUUAGGAGAAAAAAAAAACCCACAAACCAACAGAAACCUGUAUGACUAUUUAUCUUGUAAAUGGAGCCUAUUUUUCAUUCUUAUUCUCUCAUUGGUUAAGCGCGGAGAACAAGUUAGUGUUGCACUAUGCCUCAUGCAAUUUUUCAUGCAGUGUGCUCCUGUACUUAACGCAGACUCACCACGUUUUGACCAUUUGGACCUGCUGCCAGCUCUGCUUUGAGGGAUCCCUGUCUCAGUGCACAGGAUGGCGCAGAUACCUUGUCUGUCAGCUUCCCCUGACCUUGCUGCCGUUGUUUGAGAAGUUGUGCCCUGACUCUAUCAAGUGUUCCUUUUGUGCUCCACAUGUAUGCUUAUGGUAUCAGUUCUUCUUAGGUUUUUGAUAGCUGAUCCAGUAGAAUCAGAUCUGAGUCCAAGGUGUUUGUGAAGCCGGCAUGGCAAUAAAGUAGGUGUCAUCUUUAGCGGAGCUGGCUCUUGACUGCGUACCAUAAAAUGCUGCUUAUUGUACCUCUCUCUGUUGGAGGGUCAGUGGUAUGCUGUAGCUCCUAACUGCAGGCAGCCACUCAUAAAGCGCUGUACCAAGUGAAUACACUUCAUCUUAGCAGGCUUUGACUGCUUUCAGUGUGAAAGAUAGGUGAUGUCCACUGUCAUCUGUGGUCUCUGAUCCACCAUUGACGUAGCUGCUGGUGUCUCCCUGGAGAACAGGCUUGACCUCACCCUCAGCCCAUGGCGAUGCAGUGCUGGCAGCUACUGUCUGUGCAGAUGGCAGGGUUGUGUUCAGACACUUGAGCCUCUGCUUUUUCUGCACCUUGAAAUAGAUCUGGGAUACAAUUCAUUAUUUAUUUAGUGCUGUAAUCGACCCAGCCAAAGAGCAAUCUGCCAUCCAGCUGGCGAGGCACUUAGCAGCCACAGCGGGGAAAUUGCUAAAUCCAACCCGCAAACUGCUGCCUACUGAGGUGGGAGCAAAGUUUGGCUGCCUCUGCUAAUUGCUAUCAGCUAUUUACAGUUGCUUGUUGCAUUGGUACAGAUUCUUGCAAAAACUGUAUUUGGGGCUGCACACUGUAUCCUGUCCUGCACAUAGGGAUGCACAGACCUGUGGUGGCAGUAUUUUCACAGACAAGGAACACCUGGCUGCGCUCAGAACUGGCUUUGCCUUCGGCCUGGUAAGUGGACUUAUGCUGAAAGCAUUGGUGCCUCCAGGUAACACGUUUUGGGGAGUGUUUGUGUUAAGCUUUGCCAAAGAAGUAAGAAGGCAAGUAAACACUAGAAUACAGGUAGAUGCUAACAUUUACUCUGCAGACCCAUUUUUCCUGAAAUAGCAUGUAUAAAUGUUUAGAGAGUUUAUGGUGUCUCCUUCUCUGGAGAUAGUCAGGGCCCACCUGGGUCCUUUCCCGCUCAACCCACUGUAGGAUCCUGCUUUUAGCAGAUGAUCUACAGAGGUCCUUUUCAACCCCUGUGAUUCUAGAUUCUGUAACCAGGCACAACAGCACUGAAAAGUGUGAACUUUUCCCAGCAGUCUUAAUGGAGUGCUGGCUUUAAAAAGCUAAUUUAGCUGCUGCUUGCUAUGCAAUUAACACCCAAUUAAUAUAUUGGGUUAGUCCAGCUGUGUGGUACCUUGCUUGGUGUCAGGGUGGGUGUUGGUACACAUACCACAAUGAAAACGUCUCUUCAAGGUAAAUGUGUCGUCAAAGAACAAACAAAACCUGAGGCUGUGGAAACUGAGGCUGGAGCAAUGUAAUGGUAUUGUGAUUCUAUUAAAAUUAAUUUGAACAAAGUGCACACUAAAAGGAAGGGAGUUGAGAGACAUGAAAUAAAAAAAAAAAAAAAAAGGCUUUGCUUAGGUUUACAAAGGGAUCAGGUAAAGGGGAACCUGACAGCAUAGUGGCUGACACAGAAUCAGAUGAAAAAGGGCAAAUAAUGAAGCAAAACUUCAAGUGAAACCAGCAAACCUUUUAUUAAGAUUAUAACUGUCCCAGAGUAAUAACAGCGUAGUAAUGACCAUCUUGUGCAGCAGCAAUAGAGUUUGGUGGUACAAGGUUUGAAGCCUACAGUAUGGUGGGGUUAAUAAUAAUCACCUUGAAUGGGGACAGUCUUUACAAUCUGUCACUAAAAAAGUAAGUGUGAAUUUCAAGGUAGAGAUCUGAGUGAUAUUUUCUUUAGCGGUCCCUCGGACACUUGUCUGAAUCUCCUGUAAAUUUAACGACGGCCUGUACUUACAAUGCAAACCCAAGACAAUUAACUGUGUACGUUCGACCAUCUGGGACAGGAAUCUCUUCUCAAAAAUUCAGGAGCUGUGGGGCUGGGGAAGGGCAUUUCUUGGGAUUUUUGCAGAUGGAUGGAGGCCGUGUGUGCCCCACCGUCUGGUUCCUCCACGAGGUGGGGGAAGCAGCUCGCGCUGCGGCCUACACCAGCUCCCCUCCUCACAGUGGGCCUCUUGCUGCUGCGCUCCUCUGGGAAGCUGUAAUGUGUUUCACGGCUGUGGUCCACCCUCAGGGCCUCUGUGAGGGGUGCCCGCAUGGCCAUGCCUGCUCUGCUGCCAGGAGAAGAACUGGAGGAUGUUUUCACUUGUGCUCCGUGUCUGCACAUGGCUCUGGCCUUGCCAGCACAUCUUGUUUUGCUGUAUGGAGUGAGAUGUGGAAGGAGCAGCCUUGCUUGGUGAGCCCUGAGCUCGCGUUUCUCAGGGCUGUGUUUUCAGUCUGCGCAGCUCCUGGAAACCGAGCCUUGUGUAACGUGCAAUUCCCUCUCCUUGUCUUCAGCUCGAUUACUCGACUGAUCCUUCUUUCUCCUUGGAUCCCUGCUCUCAGUGAAGCAAGUCAGCACAAGACAGAAAAUAUUGGUUCUACAAGGGUUAAUUCACUGGAACUACCUUGGGGAUAGAAAUAUUUGGAAGCUCUGGAAUUCCUACAUCUCCAAGUAUGUAUUCUUUUUUGCUUCACACUGAGGAGUAUAAAGUCAUAAGGAAAAUCUUCGUUUUUUCUUCAGCCCCCAUUAUUUAAUGUGAAUAAUUUUGCCCAUCAGAGAACAACCCUUGCACUGAAGAUCAACAAACUUUUCAGUACUCUGUGCAAGAUGAAAGCAAGCAAGUGGAUAAUCUUUUUUGGAGGUUUUGGCUCUGAAACCAGUGAAGCUAGGCAUGCUUAACUCCAGGCACAUGACUACUCCAGUUAACAUUUGUAAGACUUUCUGCAGGCUUAAAGGGGCUGUCCUGCAUUAUGUCCAGUCCGUUGUCCUUCCACACAAAUUUGCUGGCUGCAGUCUCAUCUGGUAUUCUGUAAGUGAGGAGAAGAAAAUGGUAUCUAGUCUCUCCCAGAGAAAGUGCCAUAGAUUUUUGCACUUUCAGAUGGUUAUUCAAUCCGUGAAUUAUGGGACGGUCCGUAUCCACAUUAUCCCAAGGGAAUCCCUCUGAAAGAAUGUGACCUCUUUGCUCUUGAAGAAUGGGAAGAGAAAGUGAGGACAACUCUGUCAAGUUGCUAAUGUUGGAUGCAGUGGGGUUCGGUGUUGAAGAUGGCCUACAGCCAAGCAGUUGGAGAUCAUGUCAUGAAAUGAAUGCACUGAAAAGUUUGAAUAAAAGCACUUCAAAAAGGGACAGAUGAAGAAAACACUAAACAAAAUUACUAUGCUAUAGGAAGCAAAACCACAAAAAGAAAAGGAAGCUCAUUAACACUAUAUAAGAUCAAUGGUUUGGUAACAAGUUGGAAGAGGCAGCACACUUCAUUUUGAGGCAGCCCCAAGGAAAAGCUACACAUGUUCAUCUGGGAAAACUUCCAGAAGAUGAAUUCAGGAUCACAGCCACAAGUCUGAGGAGAGGAAAGCCAGCCUGGGUGACCAAACGAGAUAGGAGAGGGCUGGUGCCAGCUUCCUUGUGGCUAUUCUCAGAAGCUCUCCUAGGACUGGUGGCUCCUCCCUGCUUUGGACAUGGAAUUCUCUGCUUUGUGAGCGGCAGGUGAAGUUCUGCUGUGGCAGCUCAGCCCCUGUCUCCUGGCUUGCUUGCCUCUGGGCUGAUGCUAACGUGCUUUGACUGUGGAGGGUGGACAAACAGAAAGGCAUUAGGAAUGCUCCGAAGUGCUGUGUUAGGAUUUCUUACAUGUUGUACAGAGACACCGAGUGCCUCUGUCACAGAUCAGCAUCAUCCUGAUGCACACCAUAGGCAACUGCAGCAGAAAAGCACUGUGUCCUAUGGAAAUGGCAGCUGGACAGUUGGGAGGAAUUUCAUGGGUAGAGAGUCUUUCCAUGGAGAGCUGAGCUAGCAUAUAAAACAGGAAUAGAGAGGAAUUGGGUGAUACACAUUUGAACACCUUAGGAUUGCAGCAGACCCAAUCUUUCUGUUCCCAGCAACACUACAUCUCUGCUAGCAGAGCACUUGUGUUUGAUUGCUCACUCAGGCCAGAAGUUCUGUUGCUCGACAUAGAUGUUUUGUCACUCUACUCAUGGAUAGUACUCUUGUGUUUUAGAUUGUGUAAACAACAAAGAUAUUUUUUCAAAGAGAAGUUGCAAUUGGACUUUAUUGACAUAGCAUUUCAGAGGGGCACAGAAUACCCUGAACGGCUAUUACUAACCUAAAAGCAUGAAGCCAAUUAAAACUAGUUUCAUUUACAAGUUAGACCAUGAACUAUAUUUUCUAGUAUGGUACAAAGGAGUUAUUACUAAGAAGUAGAAAGGCUGAAAAUGGAUGGUAGCAGUUAAAUGUUGAUAGAAGAUGAGACAGGCUAUACCAUCCAUGUUUGCCCAAAUAAUUAUUUGCUUCGAUAUUUAUAAAUGUGAAUAGAAAACAGAUGGUAGAAAUGGAGAUGCCUGUCACAUUUCUGUAAUGGAGAAAGGAGGAAGAUUGGGAGGAAAUCAGAAUCCUACCAAAAAAGGGGAACAGGAAAUUAAAAUGUCAGACAACGGACAAAACUGCAGGACCACACACAAAUAUGAAGAGAUUUCUCAUAGGUUCUCUAGAGCUUUUUAAAUUUAAGUCUUUUCUAUUUUUGCCACCCAGAGAGCAGAAUAAAGAUUUAAAAACAAAAACAAAACAAAACAAAAAAGCAGGAAGGUUAAAACACAUGCCCUCAACCCAGUCUAUGAGGGCACAGUACAUUGAAAAUUUCUUCAGAAACGUGUCUGAGUAGUUUGGAGAGGUGCUGCUGUUGUAUCUAGUGAGAAGACAUAGGUCAGAGGAGAUGGAGAGUUCCUGAUUCAUUUUUUGAGUUUACUGGUAUCUGCAUCUUUGUUCUUGGUGCUAAGAAUUCUAUCUUCACUCUGUAAAGGCUUGUGCUAUGACAGGCAAAGGUCUUGCAAACUAGGAUUAACGGGGAAAUCUCCAUUACGUUUGCAGCUGUUCUGAGCAGCAGUUGGUUGUGGUCUGACCUUACAUUUGGCUGUACGUAGGCUAACUCCACCCAAAGUGAAAGAAGUGAGAGAGAAGUGAGGAAGGGGAGUACUGCUGGGAAGGAGCAACUUUAGAAUAAAAUGCUAUACCUAGAAUGUCAGAUGGUGGAAGUAGGAAAAUAAAUGAGUAAAAGGAUAGGAAGCUUUCACAUUGAGCAAAUUGGGUGGAAAUGUGCCAAGUGUGUUAACUGAAGGCCAGUGAUCCCAAAUCUGUAUGGGAGACUGAUAAUCCCCCUGCAGCCAGCAUGAAGCAGCAUACUGUCCAUGCAUGUCACUAGAAGACAGCCUAAAAAGCCAAGUGGCUUGUGGAAAUCUGUGCUGCAGCACUGUCUGAACAGGAUGAGUUUGUAAGGAUAUUCUGAGUCCAGACAGGGUUACAAGUCUCCUCUUGGAAGUGCUUCUGGUUUUAAAUGUCCUUGGGAACACAGGCAGAUAUCUGCUUUGCCCAGUGCCCUUCCCACUGGGAAGGGUUUACUGCUGCUCUAAUCAUCUCUUCAUCUUUAUCUGCCCAUUGCUUCUGUCUCCUUGUAUUCAGCAGUCAUCACUGAAUAAAGGCUGUCUGCUGACCUUUCCUUCAGCAGCAGAUUCUGAGCCAAGUUGCUGCUCAGCUGAGAUAUCAGUGUUUUUCUUUCUUUCAGUCUGUCUUGUGGUAGGGUUUUGUAUGUCUUGCUUUGACUUUGGCUAAGUGCCUCACAAGCUAUGGACUCUGAAUAUCUGCCUUAUUUGGAGAAAAAUGUAGGCUCUUCCGUUGGUUUGACCUACCAGUAUGUUUUCUACUCUCCUUUGACCGUUUCUGCCUUGCCAGUCUUCCUGUUAAGUUUUCUUCCCUCUUUCACAUGUUCACUGAUCCCUCUUCCUUCCUUAAUAAAUAGAGAAAAUCUUAGUAGCUGCUGUUAAUUGCACCUGAGUCCUUCUGCUGGUGUUUGAUGUUCAUCCCAGGAAAAAGACAUAUGCAAGUUCAUACUCACACCAGGUUAACAGAUGCUGCUGCCAAGGAUUGUAUUAGAACGUAUAAAAUAGCUUAUUUUAAUCAUGCAUUUGCACAGGUCUGCCUCAUAAUGCUAUUUCCCAUUUAAUUUUGGCCUAUACUGUCAAUUCCAGCCUUUUCAGUUAGUCUUCCCAGACGUUCCAUAAGCAAUAAUCCAUCACUCUUCUGGUUCCAACAGUAAUGAUUUCAGGUUUGUAUAGGUGAAUAUAUCUUCAAAUUUGGAGGCAAAAGUAGGUCCCUCUGUUAUCUCACUGAGAUCAAGAUUAAGCCUUGUGGAUCAAAUGAAGACCACAGUCCUCUGGAGAAAUGACUUGGUCUGCAAUCAGCUUUUCUUCCAUUCAAGACGUUGGCAAACCACUAAACAAAAUGUGGAGCAAAAUGUGGCUUGGUGGAGUCCUUAGCCAAUGACAAUAAGAUGCCUACCAAAAAGAUGGGUUUUGUGGUUUCCUCUGUAUUGUCUUUUAAACAGAGAAGUGUUGGAAGGACAGGAGAAACAAGAACUCAAAUCAGAGAUGCAGCAGUUCAGGGACAGUCAGAGUGUCGGAUGGAUUAGUUCUUCAUUUAUCUGAAGUUCUGAAAUGGGACCUUUCCAUAAAUUAUUGGGUUUGUAUGACAUUUACUGUAAGCAGAUAAUGUAGGAACAGCGAAUAUGUUUGGUUUUAGCUGGAUACUGAAAGGACAAAUGCUGGGAGCUUUAGCAGGUUCCUAGCCUAGUGGAUACAUAAGUUGGGAAGCUGGAUUUCCAAAGUAUCAGAUGUGGCCUUUCCUAAAGUUGUUCAUUUACUGACCAUGUGAAGAAGAGAGGGACUAUCAGGUGUGGCAUGUAACUCGGAGUCAGUGUUUUUUCUGAUCACUGAAUGUGAUCAAACUCGCAGUUGAAGCAGGGAGUGAAGUAGCGCUUUGUGCAAUUUUCAUCUGUCUUUCACCUGUCCUUGCUUCCAUUUAAGAUAGGUCUAAAUUCUUUCCAGGGGCUACUCCAAAGAUGAACUGCAUUUGGUCCACUGACUUUGUGACUUAAAGACUGAAAAAAAGAUGUGUUACAGAAAUGUUACCUGUGAUUGACAAGAAGGGAAAAAGAAUCCAAUCCCUUGUCCCAGAAUAUUAAUCUUUGUGGGAUUUUCCCUUAUGAUUUAUUUUUUCAAGGAUCUGACAGAAGCUGGUUUGUACCCAGUAAUGGCUAGCCUGGAAAAAAUCUUGAAAAUAUUUACUUCCCUUUCUCUCCACUUAACUGGAGACUGAAAUGAGGAGUGCCCUCCUGUCCGUGCUGUCCUGCCAUUCUUCCUGCCUGUCCCCCUUCCUUGUGCUCCCUCUGGGCUGCUGUUAUUCAGAGUUGUUACUGUGAUGGAUAGGAGUCAAUGCUGUAUGGUUCGGGAUGGAGGAUCAGCGUCAGCACAAUAUCCAAGAAACUGAUGUCUUUUUCAGAGUGAGGUUUAUCCAUACUCUUAUAAUGUGCCUUUCAUAACACUUCCUUCACCUGCAGGGCUCUCAGCCCCAACCUCUGUGCUGCUGCUCCCUUUGCCUCGCUCCCCAUCCUACCACACAGCCGCUGCUGUCUGUGUGGUCUCUGAAAUUCACACGGCUUGGUGGCAACCAGUAGGGAGGGAAAAUAAUGUGUUUUAUUUAUUUAGAGUCAA
Molecule: long non-coding RNA, 11688 nt
Organism: Numida meleagris (helmeted guineafowl)
Lineage: Eukaryota; Metazoa; Chordata; Aves; Galliformes; Numididae
Exons: 11
Source: RefSeq, a predicted model, not a curated record